UACGGGAGGCAGCAGUGGGGAAUAUUGCACAAUGGGCGCAAGCCUGAUGCAGCCAUGCCGCGUGUAUGAAGAAGGCCUUCGGGUUGUAAAGUACUUUCAGUCGUGAGGAAGGUGUUAAGGUUAAUAACCUUAGCAAUUGACGUUAGCGACAGAAGAAGCACCGGCUAACUCCGUGCCAGCAGCCGCGGUAAUACGGAGGGUGCGAGCGUUAAUCGGAAUUACUGGGCGUAAAGGGCACGCAGGCGGUUAAUUAAGUUGGAUGUGAAAUCCCUGGGCUUAACCUGGGAAUGGCAUUCAAGACUGGUUAGCUGGAGUCUUGUAGAGGGGGUAGAAUUCCAUGUGUAGCGGUGAAAUGCGUAGAGAUGUGGAGGAAUACCGGGUGGCGAAAGGCGGCCCCCUGGGACAAAGACUGACGCUCAUGUGCGAAAAGCGUGGGGAGCGAAAACAGGGAUUAGAUACC
Molecule: ribosomal RNA, 460 nt
Filed under: uncultured bacterium
Lineage: Bacteria
Description: bacterial SSU rRNA
Rfam family: Bacterial small subunit ribosomal RNA
Source: RNAcentral